CAGUAGCCGCGGUAAUACGAAGGGGGCUAGCGUUGUUCGGAUUUACUGGGCGUAAAGGGUGCGUAGGCGGACUGAUAAGUCAGGGGUGAAAUCCCAAGGCUCAACCUUGGAACUGCCUUUGAUACUGUUAGUCUUGAGUUCGAGAGAGGUGAGUGGAACUGCGAGUGUAGAGGUGAAAUUCGUAGAUAUUCGCAAGAACACCAGUGGCGAAGGCGGCUCACUGGCUCGAAACUGACGCUGAGGCACGAAAGCGUGGGGAGCAAACAGGAUUAGAUACCCCCGUAGUCCCUGUCUCUUAUAC
RNAcentral lists this ribosomal RNA (301 nucleotides) under uncultured bacterium. Its description in RNAcentral is "partial 16S ribosomal RNA". It matches the Rfam family "Bacterial small subunit ribosomal RNA", at positions 509 to 807 of the family's 1533-position model. The record is from RNAcentral.